Molecule: ribosomal RNA, 383 nt
Filed under: uncultured bacterium
Lineage: Bacteria
Description: bacterial SSU rRNA
Rfam family: Bacterial small subunit ribosomal RNA
Source: RNAcentral
GACGAACGCUGGCGGCGUGCUUAACACAUGCAAGUCGAGCGGAAAGGCCCUUCGGGGUACUCGAGCGGCGAACGGGUGAGUAACACGUGAGUAACCUGCCCUUCACUUUGGGAUAACCCUCGGAAACGGGGGCUAAUACCGGAUACGACACACCAGCGCAUGUUGUGUGUGUGGAAAGUUUUUCGGUGGGGGAUGGCUCGCGGCCUAUCAGCUUGUUGGUGGGGUGAUGGCCUACCAAGGCGACGACGGGAGCCGGCCUGAGAGGGCGACCGGCCACACUGGGACUGAGACACGGCCCAGACUCCUACGGGAGGCAGCAGUGGGGAAUAUUGCACAAUGGGCGGAAGCCUGAUGCAGCGACGCCGCGUGAGGGAUGACGGCCU